RNAcentral lists this unclassified non-coding RNA (233 nucleotides) under Lacticaseibacillus paracasei. RNAcentral's name for it is "Lactobacillus paracasei T-box". The record is from RNAcentral. Lineage: Bacteria; Bacillati; Bacillota; Bacilli; Lactobacillales; Lactobacillaceae.
GUAAACGGACUGAGUGAGUAGUUACCGCGAGGCAGUACAGAAAACCUGAUGAGCUGAGAGCAGGGUCGCUAGCGGAAAUGAAGAUGGCUUGGCACACACGGCACACCGAGCAAAUUGCGAGACUGUGAUGGUUGGCACCCAUUAUCCUGCACCCGGAUGAAUUCGUCCGCUGAGUGGAUCACGUUUUGUGUGGUCAAUUAGAAUGGUACCGUGGGCCAGAGCUCACUUCUAAC